GAUGAAGAACGUAGCGAAAUGCGAUAAGUAAUGUGAAUUGCAGAAUUCAGUGAAUCAUCGAAUCUUUGAACGCACAUUGCGCCCGCCAGUAUUCUGGCGGGCAUGCCUGUUCGAGCGUCAUUUCAACCAUCAAGCCCUGCUUGCGUUGGGGUCCUGCGGCUGCCCGCAGGCCCUGAAAACCAGUGGCGGGCUCGCUAGUCACACCGAGCGCAGUAAUACAUCUCGCUUUGGGCGUGCGGCGGGUUCUUGCCGUUAAACACCCCCUUUUUACCAAGGUUGACCUCUGAUCAGGUAGGAAUACCCGCUGAACUUAAGCAUAUCAAUAAGCGGAGGA
RNAcentral lists this unclassified non-coding RNA (334 nucleotides) under soil metagenome. Its description in RNAcentral is "partial contains 5.8S ribosomal RNA, internal transcribed spacer 2, and large subunit ribosomal RNA". The stretch from base 1 to 120 matches the Rfam family "5.8S ribosomal RNA", at positions 35 to 154 of the family's 154-position model. The record is from RNAcentral.